AUUCCAGCUCCAAUAGCGUAUAUUAAAGUUGUUGCAGUUAAAACGCUCGUAGUCGGAUUUCUGGCGUGGUGCGCCCGGCCCGAUACCGCUAAGGUGUCGAGUGCCGGCGCGCGCCUGCCAUCCUUCCGGAGAGCGUGCCUACCCUUCACUGGGCCGGGUACGCGAUCUGGAUCGUUUACUUUGAAAAAAUUAGAGUGUUUAAAGCAGGCUUACGCUUCUGAAUACAUUAGCAUGGAAUAAUAAGAUAGGACUUUGGUUCUAUUUUGUUGGUUUCUAGAACUAAAGUAAUGAUUGAUAGGGACAGUUGGGGGUGCUAGUAUUUAACGGCCAGAGGUGAAAUUCUUGGAUUCGUUAAAGACUAACUAAUGCGAAAGCAUUUGCCAGGGAUGUUUUCAUCA
RNAcentral lists this ribosomal RNA (398 nucleotides) under Massisteria sp. RNAcentral describes it as "partial small subunit ribosomal RNA". It matches the Rfam family "Eukaryotic small subunit ribosomal RNA", at positions 582 to 975 of the family's 1831-position model. Lineage: Eukaryota; Cercozoa; Massisteriidae. The record is from RNAcentral.